GAUGAACGCUGGCGGCGUGCCUAAUACAUGCAAGUCGAGCGAACGGACGAGGAGCUUGCUUCUCUGACGUUAGCGGCGGACGGGUGAGUAACACGUGGAUAACCUACCUAUAAGACUGGGAUAACUUCGGGAAACCGGAGCUAAUACCGGAUAAUAUUUUGAACCGCAUGGUUCAAUAGUGAAAGACGGUCUUGCUGUCACUUAUAGAUGGAUCCGCGCUGCAUUAGCUAGUUGGUAAGGUAACGGCUUACCAAGGCAACGAUGCGUAGCCGACCUGAGAGGGUGAUCGGCCACACUGGAACUGAGACACGGUCCAGACUCCUACGGGAGGCAGCAGUAGGGAAUCUUCCGCAAUGGGCGAAAGCCUGACGGAGCAACGCCGCGUGAGUGAUGAAGGUCUUCGGAUCGUAAAACUCUGUUAUUAGGGAAGAACAAAUGUGUAAGUAACUGUGCACAUCUUGACGGUACCUAAUCAGAAAGCCACGGCUAACUACGUG
This 497-nucleotide ribosomal RNA is filed under the name uncultured bacterium. RNAcentral describes it as "partial 16S ribosomal RNA". It matches the Rfam family "Bacterial small subunit ribosomal RNA", at positions 28 to 507 of the family's 1533-position model. The record is from RNAcentral.